GCAGUCGAACGGUAAGGGCCCGCUUGCGGGUCACACGAGUGGCGCACGGGUGNGNNNCGANGAUAUGCAACCUACCUUCAACUGGAGAAUAGCCCCGAGAAAUCGGGAUUAAUACUCCAUAACAUCCGUUUAUCACCUGAUUUACGGAUAAAAGUUCCGACGGUUGAAGAUGGGCAUGCGUGACAUUAGUUAGUUGGUGAGGUAACGGCUCACCAAGACAGCGAUGUCUAGGGGUUCUGAGAGGAUUGUCCCCCACACUGGUACUGAGACACGGACCAGACUCCUACGGGAGGCAGCAGUAAGGAAUAUUGGUCAAUGGACGAAAGUCUGAACCAGCCAUGCCGCGUGCAGGAUGACAGCCCUACGGGUUGUAAACUGCUUUUAUACGGGAAGAACCCCCUGUACGUGUACAGGGUUGACGGUACCGUAGGAAUAAGCAUCGGCUAACUCCGUGCCAGCAGCCGCGGUAAUACGGAGGAUGCAAGCGUUAUCCGGAUUCAUUGGGUUUAAAGGGUGCGUAGGCGGAAUGAUAAGUUAGUGGUGAAAUCCCCCGGCUUAACCGGGGAACUGCC
RNAcentral lists this ribosomal RNA (572 nucleotides) under uncultured Bacteroidota bacterium. Its description in RNAcentral is "bacterial SSU rRNA". It matches the Rfam family "Bacterial small subunit ribosomal RNA", at positions 57 to 625 of the family's 1533-position model. Lineage: Bacteria; Pseudomonadati; Bacteroidota. The record is from RNAcentral.